GGCCGUCUCUGCCCCCCUGAUGGACAGCCCGGCUGGCCAAUGACAGCGCAAAGCUGCCGGCGGGAGGCGAAAUCUCCGCCUGACGGGCAGUCGAGCUGCCCAAUCAGGCGAGGCGGGAAAGGGAGCUGAUUCUGGAAGCCAUUACGCCAGUGUCGCAGGGUGGAGGCCGUUGAGCGGGGUUUGCUGGGUGGUUGCGGUACGCAAUUUGCGUAUCGUUGGCUGUGCCAAGGGGGGAGCGGGGGGGGGGGACGGACACCUCCGGGCCCUGAGGGGCCUCGGGGCCCCCCUGUUGUCCCCGGUCCCGGGGGGUGAGCAGGCCUGGGGGGGCCCUGCUGCCCCUCGGCCCGGCCAGGCCUCCCCCAGGGUCCCCUGGGCCCGGCCAGGCCCCCCCACCCCCCCUUGGCCUGCAGGUGUCCCCCAGUGUCCCCUCCUCGGUGCCCCCCCCAAUGGCCAUGGCGUCCCCCCCAGCGCCCCCAGCCAAGAAGCGGAAGAUGAACUUCUCAGAGCGGGAGGUGGAGAUCAUCGUGGAGGAGCUGGAGCGAGGCAAGCACCUCCUCAUCAACCACUUCAAUGCAGGCGUGCCCCUGGCUGCCAAGGCCGCCGCCUGGCACGACAUCCUGCGCCGCGUCAAUGCCGUCGCCACCUGCCACCGUGAGCUGCCCGAGGUCAAGAAGAAAUGGUCUGACCUCAAGACUGAGGUGCGACGCAAAGUGGCCCAAGUCCGGGCUGCCAUGGAAGGGGGAGGCGAGAGCCAGAACGGCAACGGCAAUGGGACGGAGAGCGAAGACCCGACGGGCACCGCCACCGCCCCAGUUAUCCUCACCCCCAUGCAGCAACGCAUCUGCAACCUCCUGGGAGAAGCCACCAUCAUCAGUUUGCCGAGUGGGGACUGCAGCGCGGGUGACGGGACUGAGAUACCCAUCACCGCCUCGGCCACCACAGUCACCCUGACGCAGAUUCCUGCAGAGACAACCUACCACAGUCUGGAGGACGGGGUCGUGGAGUACUGCACAACAGAAGCCCCCACCACAGUCACGGCUGAAGCACCCUUGGAGAUGAUGGCGCAUCAACAUGAAGUGUCUGCGAAACCCCAGGAGCUGAAAAGCCGAAUUGCCCUGAACUCAGCCAAGCUCUUGCAGGAACAGCGGGUGACCAACUUGCACGUGAAGGAGAUCGCCCAGCACCUGGAGCAGCAGAAUGACUUGCUUCAGAUGAUCCGUCGCUCUCAGGAGGUGCAGGCAUGUGCUCAGGAGCGACAGGCACAAGCCAUGGAAGGAACACAGGCGGCACUGAGUGCCCUCAUCCAGGUCCUCCGCCCCAUGAUUAAGGACUUCCGUCGAUUUUUGCAGAGCAAUACACCCAGUCCGUCGGUCACCAGUGACCCCAGCCAGACGGGGCAGCAAGAUGGCAUGAUCCAGUGAAAGAAACAGUGAUGGGACAUCUUUCUUGGAAAAAACCUGCCCGUGCUGCUGGUGGAUGCAGGGAGCAAGGGGUGCUAGCUCUUGUUGAUGUGAAAUGGCUCGCCUUGGAGUCUUGCUGAGCCUAAACAGCUUUCUUUCUCUGCUAAUCUCAUGCUAAUCUGCCUAUUCAGACUCAUUAUAUGGAGCCAUAGCAGGAUGUGUAAUAAACCAGGAACUUAACGUUGGUUGCUUUAGUUCCUCAAACAAUAGAUUUAUUAAAAAAAAAAAGACAGUUAUUUUUUUAUUUCUGUUUGGAAAGAACUCUCCUAAGUAUGACACCGUUCUCUUUCUCUCUCAAGAUCUAUAGCCUUUAACUGACUUCUAACAUGGAGAGUCUUGUUCCGAUAUCACAGUACUGCAGCUGCCAAGGUACAGUUAUCGUAAACGGUAGUGAAUGCAUUUCUGUCUCUUGCUGAAAGCAUUUACUGGAAACGUGGUGCCGGAUGUGGUACAACCUUCUCUCUGCACCAAGAGUUAUGGAUAGUGCUCUUGCAGCGUAACAUCCUGCCCAUGCAGACCAGCACCAAGCCUACAUACAGUUUAAAUCUCACCCACAUGCCCUGAGGAUAUAAAUGGGAUUAAAAUAGUGCAUUGACCUCAUGUUCUACUUGUGUGCAGUCAUGAAAUUUCACUAUCAACUUGGCAGAUGUGAUGAAAAUUUCGUGUCUUGGUUACCAGAUGCUGUCCUGGGAUAUGUAUCGGAAGCAAUGUAUUGCCUGUCUCAGCAUAGCUAAUACACAAGGGCCUGGAUGAGUUUCGCUCAGAGAUUUGUGUUCAGCAUCCAAAGCAGGAAAGAGCCGCAUGGGGAUGUUCUGCCACAGGGUGGUGAGGUGAGGGGCGAGGGCGAGCAGCUGGGCAGCGAGUGGCAUCCUUCGUACCUGCUGGAGGAAGAGAAGUUUGGUGGUGGACUCUUGGUGGGUCAGAAGAUGAACUUUGCAGCAAUUAGAGGCAGCAGCCAAGCUGCCUGCAGCACCAUUAAGCUGCUUCAGGAGCAAAACUCUGGUUGUGAUGUGUGCGGCUCAGGCACGGCUUUCCAGGAGAUGGCACUGCGCAACGGGGCAAGGCGCGGGGACCCUGCACUGCAGCAAGGUACUGCCCGUGUCCGGCUCUGGCAGACCCAGAGAUGACCCUCGUCAUCCACACCUUCUGUGAUCCUGCUCACUCCUCUCACUGAUGAAUCUUUUCAAGACUGACAGCCUGGAGAGGAAGAAAUUCAAUGGACAGAGCUCAGGGGAUGAGGAACGCCUGUAGCCCUAGGAAAGUCGCAAUGCUUGGGAACACAAACCGGGUCCCUCUGCUUCCCGCAAACAUGGGCAGAGGACACGGAGAUGUCAGGAGCUUGUGGCACUCUUUGGGGUGAGUUCACUGCGGAAGCAAACAGGUAGGCACAAAAUAAAAAAAACUCACAAAUUCUUGUAGGCAAAGGGACAGGUUUUAAGGUUUUUAUGAGACACAAAAAUAUGUCAGUAUCCCAUGAGUACAGUGUGCUGCCAUAGCUACAUCGCAGUGCUGGGAGUGGAUCCCUGCUGAGGGACAGAAUGAUAUCAUCUGCAUACUCACUUAAAUUACCUUUACCUCCUCCAGCAUGUUUUUAAAGUUCGUCAAGCCUGUUUUGACAAAGCACUCUUCUGGGGUUUUGUGUGUUUUUUUUCCUGUUGCCAUCUGCGAGGUUAUUGCCAGCAGGUACUGUCAGCACAAGUGUGGCCUGCUAAAUAUGAAAAUUGAAGCAUUUAAGAUUCUUUUGUCUUUCUUGAAAGCAUCUGAAGAGAAGCUUCACACAAACGAUCAGCACAGCUUCCAGGCUGUGUUUUGCGAGCAGGAAUGAAGCCUGCAUUGCCUGUGAACUGAGCUCACCAGCCCUGGGGUCCCAGCCCUGCAAGGGAGAAGUCAAGGGAGAAGCCCAGCCCCAGCAGGGACAGUUUGUUACCUCUACUGCCUGGGAUCCCAAAUUAGAGGUUGCCAUGUCAAAUGGGAACCACAGACUUACAGUUUUGGGGUAACAGCAGCAUUUGUGGGGCUGCAGGCAGGAGAACGGAACCAGUGGGAGAGCCCAUGGCCAGCAGGUCUCUUGUCCAGCAGAGCGCUGAAGGCAACACCUGGCAUACAGAGCCAGGAUAACGCUCAAUAAACACAACAAGCCUCAAGGCAAAGCGGGUUCCAGUCUGCAGAUUUGGGAAGGGGCAAACCAGCUCCCGUUCCGCCCAUAGGCCUCCCAGAAAGAAGCAGCGGAGAGUCCUGCCGCACCUUCCCAGGACACACUGGAGCAGAUAUGGAAACCGGUAAACAAAAAAAAGCCAGGCAGCUGGAUUUUCAGGUCUGGCUACAUGUUUGGGGAAAGGAAUCCACCGACUCCAGAUUCCUGUGCUCCCUUUGUCUCUGCCGAUAACAGGAUCCCCCAGGAGCCCACCAUGCAGGUGCGUCCUUUGCACAUCCAACAGGAAACCCAGCCUGGCACAGAAAGUGAAACAGUUCUGGCCUUUACGAUAAUGACUUCAGUUAAAUAUGGAACUAGUGAAAAACACGAGCAGAUCAAAGUAGCGCUCACAGCCUGUUAUUAAAUUAAGCCAAGAAGACGCAAGCAUGGAAUAACUCCAUAGGAUAAUGCUACGGAAUGGGGAGAGGUACUCAUUCCCCUCACAGGGUUUCCAGUAGCCUGCACGCUGCAGAUGGGGCUCACGCUGCUGCCAUCUCCUGCCCUGGGGGGGCUGCACCCCUGCCCCAUUUUGGGAGCCCCCCAGCCUGGGUCUGGCCCCCCAGCCCUGGGGAAGGCACCCAGCGCGGUGCCCAGCCCCUCAGAGCCCGUGUUUGUCCACCAGCAGCGCAAAAAACAUCUUUACAGCAUAAAGUGUCGUGUGAUAAUCUUUUCUUCUUGGAUGAUGAGGCUGAAAGCUCAUUAAAGCUAUUUUAACAGAGGUUACAGGUGUAACAGAGGAGAGCCAUUACUGUGUUUACGCUGUUGCAGCAACAUGUAUAAUUUAGUUUUCAAACUUUAAUCAUUUGGCUGCUAGGACAAAUGAAUUAGCGUGAUGAUGUUUUCCAGAGGAAGACGCUGAUGAUGUAGUUUACAGGGUUUGAUGUAUCUGGGAUGCCCCUGGGAUAAGAGAUAGGAUUUGAUGGCUCACCAAAUGCAUUACAGAACGUAUCUCGCUUCACCUCGCUGAGUUUUAUACCUUCUGAAUUUAUCUUGCCUUGUUUCUACCCGGCUGCUUUAUCUCGGUCCUCGAAGUGGGGAGGGAAGAGGCAAGAAAAGCCAUCUCUGUUCCUGCUCACUCGCAGUCUCAAGGAUGAGCAGAGCAGAGAGAUCCCAGCUCCUGGCCGGUGAGACACACCUCCAGUGACAGCAGAGGUGAGGCCCAGACUUAACUGCAGAGCCCAAACUGAUAAAUUACCCCAGACUGAUAAGACAAUGCCCUGAGACAGCAAAAGUUGAGGAAGUGGCGGUGGCACUGGGGAGCGGCAUCAGGAGAGGCUUAGGUCAGGGAGAGCAUGGGGCAGGGAUGUGGCUGAGGCUCAUGGAGCAGAGGUGAGGUGGGCACAGCGGGGGUGAGACUGUAGAAGAGAAACCAACAGCAUUUGGGUCAGGGGUAAGCGGAAUCAAUAUAUAUCAGAGCGCCCUGUUCACACACACAGCCCCUUAGUGAAUGGAUUGGACCUGGAUCGGAAAAUCAUAUAAAGCCAGCAGGAUGGCAGAUAGAUGGAGAGACCCUAUGGCCACAUCCCCUCCGCAGUGCCUCCGUGGGGCUCAGACUCACCCACACUGACACCUUUCCCAGCAGGGCACACGUUCAGAGGAGCACUGUCCCUUUAAAAAAUGUGAAUUUCUUCAGAAAUAAUUAUGCAGCACAAACACAGAAAAAUCAACAGGGUGAAUUUCAAACUAAUAAAGAUUUAAUCUCCAAGUCAUGAGACUGCGUUUGUUAGGAAAAUAUACAUACCCCUGAGAAUCGAGCUACGGUUGCUGUAUUACACACUGUUCAGCAGUUCACUGGGCAUUUUUCCAAAUCCGUUUAUUUUUAACAUCAGUCACAUUAUUCAAUUAAUUAUAAAAACACUGAGGUUUUCAAGAGAUGUUUCUGAUAAAACUGCAGAGUAAAUAUGCGU
Molecule: RNA transcript, 5561 nt
Organism: Chroicocephalus ridibundus (black-headed gull)
Lineage: Eukaryota; Metazoa; Chordata; Aves; Charadriiformes; Laridae
Gene: NAIF1
Gene name: nuclear apoptosis inducing factor 1
Exons: 3
Source: RefSeq, a predicted model, not a curated record